AACCAUAGAAACCUGCGGAGUACCUGCGGAAGGAUCAUUACAGAGUUGCAAAACUCCCUAAACCAUUGUGAACGUUACCUAAACCGCUGCUUCGGCGGGCGGCCCGGGUCCUUCCCGGCGCCCAUCGGCCCUCGCGGGCGCCCGCCGGAGGUAAACCAAACUAUUGCAUUGUAUGGCCUCUCUGAGUCUUCUGUACUGAAUAAGUCAAAACUUUUAACAAUGGAUCUCAGAUCGGAAGAG
This 240-nucleotide unclassified non-coding RNA is filed under the name soil metagenome. Its description in RNAcentral is "partial contains 5.8S ribosomal RNA, internal transcribed spacer 2, and large subunit ribosomal RNA". The record is from RNAcentral.